GACGAACGCUGGCGGCGUGCUUAACACAUGCAAGUCGAACGGAAAGGCCCUGCUUUUGUGGGGUGCUCGAGUGGCGAACGGGUGAGUAACACGUGAGUAACCUGCCCUUGACUUUGGGAUAACUUCAGGAAACUGGGGCUAAUACCGGAUAGGAGCUCCUGCUGCAUGGUGGGGGUUGGAAAGUUUCGGCGGUUGGGGAUGGACUCGCGGCUUAUCAGCUUGUUGGUGGGGUAGUGGCUUACCAAGGCUUUGACGGGUAGCCGGCCUGAGAGGGUAACCGGCCACAUUGGGACUGAGAUACGGCCCCGACUCCUACGGGAGGCAGCAGUGGGGAAUAUUGCACAAUGGGCGGAAGCCUGAUGCAGCAACGCCGCGUGCGGGAUGACGGCCUUCGGGUUGUAAACCGCUUUCGCCUGUGACGAAGCGUGAGUGACGGUAAUGGGUAAAGAAGCACCGGCUAACUACGUG
RNAcentral lists this ribosomal RNA (468 nucleotides) under uncultured bacterium. RNAcentral's name for it is "partial 16S ribosomal RNA". It matches the Rfam family "Bacterial small subunit ribosomal RNA", at positions 28 to 507 of the family's 1533-position model. The record is from RNAcentral.